This 463-nucleotide ribosomal RNA is filed under the name uncultured bacterium. RNAcentral's name for it is "partial 16S ribosomal RNA". It matches the Rfam family "Bacterial small subunit ribosomal RNA", at positions 32 to 523 of the family's 1533-position model. The record is from RNAcentral.
AAUCAACGCUGGCGGCGUGCCUAACACAUGCAAGUCGCACGAGAAAGGGCCUUCGGAUCUGAGUAAAGUGGCGCACGGGUGAGUAACACGUGAAUUAUCUACCUUCGAGUGGGGAAUAACUUCGGGAAACCGAGGCUAAUACCGCAUAAUAUCUACGAAUCAAAGCAGUAAUGUGCUUGAAGAGGAGUUCGCGGCAGAUUAGUUAGUUGGCGGGGUAAUGGCCCACCAAGACGAUGAUCUGUAUCCGGCCUGAGAGGGCGCAUGGACACACUGGAACUGAAACACGGUCCAGACUCCUACGGGAGGCAGCAGUGGGGAAUUUUGCGCAAUGGGGGAAACCCUGACGCAGCAACGCCGCGUGGAGGAUGAAGUCUCUUGGGACGUAAACUCCUUUCGAUAGGGAAGAUUAUGACGGUACCUAUAGAAGAAGCCCCGGCUAACUUCGUGCCAGCCGCCGCCGUAA